UACGAAGGGGGCUAGCGUUGCUCGGAAUCACUGGGCGUAAAGCGCACGUAGGCGGCUUGUUAAGUCAGGGGUGAAAUCCUGGAGCUCAACUCCAGAACUGCCUUUGAUACUGAUGAGCUUGAGUUCGGGAGAGGUGAGUGGAACUGCGAGUGUAGAGGUGAAAUUCGUAGAUAUUCGCAAGAACACCAGUGGCGAAGGCGGCUCACUGGCCCGAUACUGACGCUGAGGUGCGAAAGCGUGGGGAGCAAACAGG
RNAcentral lists this ribosomal RNA (253 nucleotides) under uncultured bacterium. RNAcentral describes it as "partial 16S ribosomal RNA". It matches the Rfam family "Bacterial small subunit ribosomal RNA", at positions 524 to 776 of the family's 1533-position model. The record is from RNAcentral.